This 690-nucleotide unclassified non-coding RNA is filed under the name uncultured soil eukaryote. Its description in RNAcentral is "sequence contains 5.8S rRNA gene, ITS2, 28S rRNA gene". The stretch from base 276 to 690 matches the Rfam family "Eukaryotic large subunit ribosomal RNA", at positions 1 to 418 of the family's 3401-position model. The record is from RNAcentral.
GACUUUCAGCGAUGGAUGUCUCGGAUCUCGUAACGAUGAAGGACGCAGCUAGCUGCGAUACGCAGUGUGACUUGCAAACUUCUGAGAAUCAUUAGAUUUUUGAACGCAAAAGGCACUCUUGGGCUCUGCUCAGGAGUAUGCUCACUUCAGUGCUUUAUUUGUUUGUUGUCUUGAUUGGUAGACAACGUGGAUAGUUGCUGUUUUAACGGCCGCUGAAAUUGUAUGAUCUUGCCUCUUUGGUGAUCCCUUAGUGACAACGAUCUAAGACUUUAAACAAGCCUGAAUUUGAGCAAGGCUACCCGCUGAAUUUAAGCAUAUUAUUAAGCGGAGGAAAAGAAACUAACUAGGAUUCCCUUAGUAACGGCGAGUGAACAGGGAAGAGCUCAAACUGAAAAUCGUCAGCUUGCUGUCGAAUUGUAGUCUCACGAAGUGCAACCUGUGUUUGUCCUAGGCUAAGUCUCUUGGAAAAGAGUACCAAAGAGGGUGAAAGUCCCGUCUUUGCUUAGAGACGUUCACGUUCGGUGCAUUUUCAAAGAGUCGCGUUCCUUGAGAUUGGAGCGCUAAUUGGGUGAUAAAUUUCAUCUAAAGCUAAAUACUAACGAGAUUCCGAUAGCAUACAAGUACCGUGAGGGAAAGAUGAAAAGGACUUUGGAAAGAGAGUUAAAAGGAACUGAAAUUGCUGAAAGGUAA